GACGAACGCUGGCGGCGUGCUUAACACAUGCAAGUCGAACGGAAAGGCCCUGCUUUUGUGGGGUGCUCGAGUGGCGAACGGGUGAGUAACACGUGAGUAACCUGCCCUUGACUUUGGGAUAACUUCAGGAAACUGGGGCUAAUACCGGAUAGGAGCUCCUGCUGCUUUGUGGGGGGUGGAAAGUUUCGGUGGUUGGGGAUGUACUCGCGGCUUAUCAGCUUGUUGGUGGGGUAGUGGCUUACCAAGGCUUUGACGGGUAGCCGGCCUGAGAGGGUGACCGGCCACAUUGGGACUGAGAUACGGCCCAGACUCCUACGGGAGGCAGCAGUGGGGAAUAUUGCACAAUGGGCGGAAGCCUGAUGCAGCAACGCCGCGUGCGGGAUGACGGCCUUCGGGUUGUAAACCGCUUUCGCCUGUGACGAAGCGUGAGUGACGGUAAUGGGUAAAGAAGCACCGGCUAACUACGUG
RNAcentral lists this ribosomal RNA (468 nucleotides) under uncultured bacterium. RNAcentral's name for it is "partial 16S ribosomal RNA". It matches the Rfam family "Bacterial small subunit ribosomal RNA", at positions 28 to 507 of the family's 1533-position model. The record is from RNAcentral.